ACAAAAACAUGUCUCUUUGAUAUAAUAUAUAUGAAGAGUUUGACCUGCCCAGUGAUAGUAAAUAUUAAACGGCCGCAGUACUUUGACUGUGCGAAGGUAGCGUAAUUAUUUGCCUUAUAAUUGAAGGCUUGUAUGAAUGGUUUGACGAAAAUAGAUCUGUCUUAAUUUGAUUUUUUAGAAUUUAACUUUUAAGUGAAGAGGCUUUUAUAUUAUUGAUAGACAAGAAGACCCUGUCGAGCUUAAAUUUUAUGUAUAAAUAUUUAUUUUAAUUUUAUAUUUAAAUUUUAGUUGGGGUGACUGAGGAAUAUUAUGAGUUUCCUUAUGAAAUAAUUUUAAGGUUGAUUAAUUUUGAUCCAUUAUAUAGUGAUUAGUAGAAUUAGUUACCGCAGGGAUAACAGCAUAAUCUUUUUUGAGAGUUCAUAUCGAAAAAUUGGUUUGUGACCUCGAUGUUGGAUUAAAGUUUCCUAAAGGUGCAGAAGUUUUUAAGGGUUAGUCUGUUCGACUAUUAAAACUUUACAUGAGCUGAG
Molecule: ribosomal RNA, 527 nt
Filed under: Chondrothyrium violaceum
Lineage: Eukaryota; Metazoa; Mollusca; Gastropoda; Littorinimorpha; Pomatiidae
Description: partial 16S small subunit ribosomal RNA
Rfam family: Bacterial large subunit ribosomal RNA
Source: RNAcentral